CUCAGACCAGAAUGCGAAGAUUUCAAGAGAAGAGAAGCAACUCCAAAUAUUUGUAAAAAGUGACACAUUUGUUUUAGAAAAGAAGUCAAAACCAUCAAAAACAAUUAAGAACAGAAAUGCCACAACUUUCAUGGGAAAACAACAAUAUGUAUCUCCCUCAUAAAGUUUAAAUGCAUAUUCUUCUGAAAGAACAUCUCACAACACGCCCACACACAAGAAAGACCAGAUUGCAGAUGUGGGAUAUGUCUAGAUAUGUCUAAUGGCAUAGAAAAAAUCCAUCUGAGGAGAGAUUUAAAAGAUUUGCACUGUGCAGUUUAAAGAAAAAAUUAGUA
Non-coding RNA from Pelodiscus sinensis (Chinese soft-shelled turtle), 332 nucleotides. The record is from RefSeq and is a predicted model, not a curated record. NCBI's taxonomy places the organism in Eukaryota, Metazoa, Chordata, Testudines, Trionychidae.